AUCUUUUUGUAACUCAUAAGCAUGAUGACUGAGGUUUCACACACAUGUAUGAAAUGUGCCUCCCUCAAACUG
Small nucleolar RNA from Macaca fascicularis (crab-eating macaque), 72 nucleotides. The record is from Ensembl. Lineage: Eukaryota; Metazoa; Chordata; Mammalia; Primates; Cercopithecidae.